RNAcentral lists this ribosomal RNA (253 nucleotides) under uncultured bacterium. Its description in RNAcentral is "partial 16S ribosomal RNA". It matches the Rfam family "Bacterial small subunit ribosomal RNA", at positions 524 to 776 of the family's 1533-position model. The record is from RNAcentral.
UACGGGGGGGGCAAGCGUUGUUCGGAAUUACUGGGCGUAAAGGGCUCGUAGGCGGCCAACUAAGUCGGACGUGAAAUCCCUCGGCUUAACCGGGGAACUGCAUCCGAUACUGGAGGGCUUGAGUUUGGGAGAGGGAUGCGGAAUUCCAGGUGUAGCGGUGAAAUGCGUAGAUAUCUGGAGGAACACCGGUGGCGAAGGCGGCAUCUUGGACCAACACUGACGCUGAGGAGCGAAAGCCAGGGGAGCAAACGGG